CCCUUAGAUGUUCUGGGCCGCACGCGCGCUACACUGAUUCAUGCAACAAGUUUUGUCCUUGGCUGAUAGGCCUGGGUAAUCUUUGAACGUGAAUCGUGAUGGGGAUAGAUGAUUGCAAUUAUUCAUCUUCAACGAGGAAUUCCUAGUAAACGCAAGUCAUCAGCUUGCAUUGAUUACGUCCCUGCCCUUUGUACACACCGCCCGUCGCACCUACCGAUUGAAUGGUCCGGUGAAAUCUUCGGAUCUGAGAGAUGUCUGAUUAAUUUCGGACGCCUUUUGGAAAAGUUGUUUAAACCUUACCAUUUAGAGGAAGGCGAAGUCGUAACA
RNAcentral lists this ribosomal RNA (327 nucleotides) under uncultured eukaryote. RNAcentral describes it as "partial 18S ribosomal RNA". It matches the Rfam family "Eukaryotic small subunit ribosomal RNA", at positions 1470 to 1796 of the family's 1831-position model. The record is from RNAcentral.